This 497-nucleotide ribosomal RNA is filed under the name uncultured bacterium. Its description in RNAcentral is "partial 16S ribosomal RNA". It matches the Rfam family "Bacterial small subunit ribosomal RNA", at positions 28 to 507 of the family's 1533-position model. The record is from RNAcentral.
GAUGAACGCUGGCGGCGUGCCUAAUACAUGCAAGUCGAGCGAACAGAUGAGGAGCUUGCUCCUCUGACGUUAGCGGCGGACGGGUGAGUAACACGUGGAUAACCUACCUAUAAGACUGGGAUAACUUCGGGAAACCGGAGCUAAUACCGGAUAAUAUAUUGAACCGCAUGGUUCAAUAGUGAAAGACGGUUUUGCUGUCACUUAUAGAUGGAUCCGCGCCGCAUUAGCUAGUUGGUAAGGUAACGGCUUACCAAGGCAACGAUGCGUAGCCGACCUGAGAGGGUGAACGGCCACACUGGAACUGAGACACGGUCCAGAGUCCUACGGGCGGCAGCAGUAGGGAAUCUUCCGAAAUGGGCGAAAGCCUGACGGAGCAACGCAGCGUGAGUGCUGAAGGUCUUCGGAUCGUAAAACUCUGUUAUUAGGGAAGAACAAAUGUGUAAGUAACUAUGCACGUCUUGACGGUACCUAAUCAGAAAGCCACGGCUAACUACGUG